Molecule: ribosomal RNA, 253 nt
Filed under: uncultured bacterium
Lineage: Bacteria
Description: partial 16S ribosomal RNA
Rfam family: Bacterial small subunit ribosomal RNA
Source: RNAcentral
UACAGAGGGUGCGAGCGUUAAUCGGAAUAACUGGGCGUAAAGGGCGAGUAGGCGGAUGAUUAAGUUAGAUGUGAAAGAUACGGGCUCAACCUGUGGAUGUCAUCUAAGACUGAUCAUCUAGAGAGCAGUAGAGGGGAGUGGAAUUUCCGGAGGAGCGGUGAAAUGCGUAGAUCUCGGAAGGAACACCGGUGGCGAAGGCGACUCUCUGGACUGUAACUGACGCUGAGGAGCGAAAGCGUGGGGAGCAAACAGG